Molecule: ribosomal RNA, 861 nt
Filed under: uncultured Methanosaeta sp.
Lineage: Archaea; Methanobacteriati; Methanobacteriota; Methanomicrobia; Methanotrichales; Methanotrichaceae
Description: bacterial SSU rRNA
Rfam family: Archaeal small subunit ribosomal RNA
Source: RNAcentral
GACGGGGAUAAACCCGGGAAACUGGGUAUAAUACCCGAUAGAUCUCGGCUGCUGGAAUGCACCGAGUUCUAAAGCUCCGGCGCUCAAGGAUGGAUCUGCGGCCUAUCAGGUAGUAGUGGGUGUAGCGUACCUACUAGCCUACGACGGGUACGGGUUGUGAGAGCAAGAGCCCGGAGAUGGAUUCUGAGACACGAACCCAGGCCCUACGGGGUGCAGCAGGCGCGAAAACUUUACAAUGCUGGAAACAGCGAUAAGGGGACCUCGAGUGCCAGGUUACAAAUCUGGCUGUCGUGAUGCCUAAAAAGCAUUGCAUAGCAAGGGCCGGGCAAGACCGGUGCCAGCCGCCGCGGUAACACCGGCGGCUCGAGUGGUAACCGUUAUUAUUGGGUCUAAAGGGUCUGUAGCCGGCCGGAUAAGUCUCUUGGGAAAUCUGGCAGCUUAACUGUCAGGCUUUCAGGAGAUACUGUCUGGCUCGAGGCCGGGAGAGGUGAGAGGUACCUCAGGGGUAGGGGUGAAAUCUUGUAAUCCUUGAAGGACCACCAGUGGCGAAGGCGUCUCACCAGAACGGACCUGACGGCAAGGGACGAAAGCUAGGGGCACGAACCGGAUUAGAUACCCGGGUAGUCCUAGCCGUAAACGAUACUCGCUAGGUGUCGGCCACGGUGCGACCGUUGUCGGUGCCGUAGGGAAGCCGUGAAGCGAGCCACCUGGGAAGUACGGCCGCAAGGCUGAAACUUAAAGGAAUUGGCGGGGGAGCACCACAACGGGUGGAGCUUGCGGUUUAAUUGGAUUCAACGCCGGAAAUCUUACCGGGACCGACAGCAAUAUGAAGGCCAGGCUGAAGACUUUGCCGGAUUAGCU